Molecule: ribosomal RNA, 1582 nt
Filed under: Clostridium botulinum
Lineage: Bacteria; Bacillati; Bacillota; Clostridia; Eubacteriales; Clostridiaceae
Description: bacterial LSU rRNA
Rfam family: Bacterial large subunit ribosomal RNA
Source: RNAcentral
UCCAAGGUUUCCAGGGGAAGGUUCGUCCGCCCAGGGUUAGUCGGGACCUAAGCCGAGGCCGAAAGGCGUAGGUGAUGGACAACAGGUUGAGAUUCCUGUACCACCAAUAAUCGCUUGAGAGAAGGAAUGACACAGUAGGAUAAGCUAACCACACUGUUGGUUAUGUGUGGCUAAGUACUGAGGCAGUCAAGGUAGGCAAAUCCGCCUUGAUAAUGCUAGGGUACGAUGGGGAGCGAAAUUAAGUAGCGAAGUAGCUGAUUUCACACUGUCGAGAAAAGUUUCUAUCGAGAUUAAAGGUGCCCGUACCGCAAACCGACACAGGUGGGUGAGGAGAGUAUCCUAAGGCCAGCGAGAGAACUGUUGUUAAGGAACUCGGCAAAAUGACCCCGUAACUUAGGGAGAAGGGGUGCCACGUUAGGGUUAACGCCCGAGGUGGCCGCAGAGAAUAGGCCCAAGCGACUGUUUACCAAAAACACAGGUUUCUGCUAAGUCGCAAGACGAUGUAUAGGAGCUGACGCCUGCCCGGUGCUGGAAGGUUAAGGGGAUCUGUUAGGAUUUAUCCGAAGCAGUGAACUUAAGCCCCAGUAAACGGCGGCCGUAACUAUAACGGUCCUAAGGUAGCGAAAUUCCUUGUCGGGUAAGUUCCGACCCGCACGAAUGGCGUAACGAUUUGGGCACUGUCUCAACAACAGACUCGGUGAAAUUGUAAUCCCGGUGAAGAUGCCGGGUACCUGCGACAGGACGGAAAGACCCCAUGGAGCUUUACUGUAGCUUGACAUUGAAUUUUGGUGCUACAUGUACAGGAUAGGUGGGAGGCUAUGAAGUCGGGACGCCAGUCUCGGCGGAGCCAUCCUUGGGAUACCACCCUUGUAGUACUGAGAUUCUAACCAGAUACCUUGAAUCAGGUAUUGGGACACUGUCAGGUGGGCAGUUUGACUGGGGCGGUCGCCUCCCAAAGAGUAACGGAGGCGCUCAAAGGUUCUCUCAGCACGGUCGGAAAUCGUGCGUAGAGUGUAAAGGCAGAAGAGAGCUUGAUUGCAAGACAUACAGGUCGAGCAAGGACGAAAGUCGGACUUAGUGAUCCGGUGGUUCCGCAUGGAAGGGCCAUCGCUCAACGGAUAAAAGCUACCCUGGGGAUAACAGGCUUAUCUCCCCCAAGAGUCCACAUCGACGGGGAGGUUUGGCACCUCGAUGUCGGCUCAUCACAUCCUGGGGCUGUAGUAGGUCCCAAGGGUUGGGCUGUUCGCCCAUUAAAGUGGUACGCGAGCUGGGUUCAGAACGUCGUGAGACAGUUCGGUCCCUAUCCGUCGCGGGCGUAGGAAAUUUGAGGAGACCUGUCCUUAGUACGAGAGGACCGGGAUGGACGUACCUCUGGUGUACCAGUUGUUCUGCCAAGGGCAUGGCUGGGUAGCUAUGUACGGAAUGGAUAAGCGCUGAAAGCAUCUAAGCGCGAAGCCAACUUCAAGAUAAGAUUUCCCACCGUAAGGGUAAGAUCCCAGGAAGACUACCUGGUUGAUAGGUCAAAGGUGUAAGUGCAGCAAUGCAUGUAGCUUAUUGAUACUAAUAGAUCGAGGACUUGACC